UGUCAAAGCUUUGAUGUCGCUCUUAUGGAAAUCAUUAAAUGCUGUCAGAGUUUUGUUUUAUUGCCCCCUGGAGGACAGAGUGAAGGGUGAGAGGAAAUCUAGUUUUCAUGAGUAUUUUUGUCAUAAACUUUGUCUUGAGAGUGGUCAUAACAAAUUCACUGACCUCACUAGUCAUGCUCUUUACUGAUGAAUAAGAAAAGAAUGUGUUCUGUACUAAGAAACGAUUCUCUGAAAAAUUUUGAACUGCUUUUUAACUUCUGCUUUUUUACAUACUAGUUCUUUUCUGAAUCAAUUGUAGGAGAGAAAUCAGUAAUAAAAAACAAGUAACAACAAAUCAACUCCUGUAUCUUAAAACCUUAAGAAAAAAUGGACCCCCUCAAACUCAGCUGCUGCCACAACUCCCACAGUGUGCUUCAGUCUGGGGCAGCGGGGCAACUGGUGGACUGUGCUGCAGUUGAUCCCUCUACCCCUGAGAAGUGUGUGUUAUGAUCCUUUAUGUUAAGUGACAAAGCAGUGUUAUCUGUGAAUCCACUCCUGAUUCAUUUUAUAUCCUUGUCACAAUGUCACUUUGGUACUUGCAAUUGAACCUUUCAUACUGUAAUCAAGUUUUUAAUUGAUCUGUAAUCAAUUUUAUAGAAGAUUGGUUGUGGAAAAAAUAAAUACAGCUAUUAAUGUCUCUGCAACAUCCUAAAAUUGCAGUUUUCAUAAAGACAUUGUUAUCAUUUGUCUUAAUUUUAAAGAAAUAGCCAUUUUUGAAAGAGUAGCAUAUAAUUAGAUAUACAAUUUAAUAUGUAGAAAUUAAACUGGAUUAUUGUUUGUUUUUAAGCAUAUUCUAAAAUAGCCUAUUAACAGAAAAUAGUCUCUAUCUACUGAUUGUCAAAGGGUAGGGAGGUGACUAGUACCAAGAUGUGUCUGAUCACUCAAAAAAAAAAUACUUAUGCCUGCAUUGGAACACAGUAAAUUAUAUUCUCUCAUAGGAAGUGAAGCCUAGGGCCAGGGAUUUAGCUCAGUGGUGCCGAAGUCUGCCUCACAAGCACAAGGUCCUGAGUUUGAUUUCCAGUACCAAAAAAAAAAAAAGGAAGUGAACCCUAUCUGUUUAUUUCUGAGGUUGAAAGUGUAAAGUUUUACUUUAUGAGCUAAAUAAUAAAGAUAAUAACAAAAAGAUAAA
RNAcentral lists this long non-coding RNA (1168 nucleotides) under Heterocephalus glaber (naked mole-rat). RNAcentral describes it as "lncRNA (ENSHGLG00000036459.1)". The record is from RNAcentral. Lineage: Eukaryota; Metazoa; Chordata; Mammalia; Rodentia; Bathyergidae.